This is a long non-coding RNA of Brassica rapa (field mustard), 3047 nucleotides long. RefSeq lists it as uncharacterized. Lineage: Eukaryota; Viridiplantae; Streptophyta; Magnoliopsida; Brassicales; Brassicaceae. The record is from RefSeq and is a predicted model, not a curated record.
UACUAUAAGAACUCUGAUAUACCAUGGAUUUGACCCAUUUUCAUCCAUGGUAUAUAGGUGUUUUACUAUCUAUAUAUUAUAUAUUCUAUCCUAUUAGGUAUGUUUUCAGGUUCAGAAAUAUCUUGGAGUAAAGUGAUGAUUAUGGAGCAUUUAGGAGCUUAAAAGAGAUUUCAUCCGAGCUGACCAUUAGAGGUCGAUACGAAGAAGAAGAAAUCGAUCGAUUUACAUCUUGUACCAUCGAUUGAUGUCGAGACGCAGAACCCGCGACUUGGUUCCAGCCGACUUUAAACCCAAGGCUUCACAAAAUUACAAGAUUACCCCUGACGAGCUUUUAACCUAAUAGUUAUAUACUUGCCUAAGUGUUAGGAGGCAAAAGGAGAGUUUUUUUAGAGAGCUUUAUCCACCAUUGUAUUCUUACUUUUCAGAGGAGAGAAAAUAAUAGAGAGAUUUGUCUAUUGAUUCAUCUAUUUUAUCCUAUGCAGUUUUUAUCUAUAUUUUGUGUCAUGAAUUGCUUAGCUAUGUCUGAGUAGUUUACUUGUUAGAUUCAGGGUUCAAAUAGGUUAGAGGGAUUAGUCCCAACUAUAGAUUUGCUAAGUUGUGAUAUUCAUUGAUUGAUUGUUCUUAAUGCUUGUUUUAGCUUUGCUAACUAGAACAUGAACCUAGGAAUUUGCAUGUGUCAAGCAUUCUUGAUCAUCAUGUCCUGAAUCUAAUCUGUCAUGCUAGGACUGCUAGAGAGAGCUAACCGCUGAUCUAGGAGACUAGUGAAGAUUAUCAACCCACGCCUAGGGCUUAGCUAGAAGCAUCGAUCGAUAUUGUUAGUCGAGUAAUAGACUUGCUCAAUUAGCUGAUCACUGAAUAGAAACCAUGCAUAUAAUAUCUUCCAAUAAGUUACACCCCCAAUCAUCUUGUUAGUCGAGUAAUAGACUUGCUCAAUUAGGAUUGCUAUUUACUUUUAGACCCAUAAACCAACAAACACUUAGAAUUAAUAACUUUACUAGAUUUAAUAGGUUCCCUAGCGCCUUGUGGAUUCGAUCCCUAAGUACUGCAACUGAACCUCUUAUUUGAGAGACUAAUUCACUCCUUAGGGUAAUUUGAGUGGUAUCAAACUCGCAAAGGCGGUUCAAUCUCUUAUUCUACUCUUUCAAUAGAGCUACGUUCGGCUUGAUACCUCGAAAGGGAUAGUCUAACGAACUAAGUCAUAGGCGAUUUUUCAUGUCUCGAUAUAUCUUUCCAUAACAGUUUAGCCAGGUCUUUCAAACCGAUCUAAACUCUCAGAAAAAUUGAGAAACGAUUGCCACGCAUAUUCAGCUCGCUUUCUAAAGAAAGAAAGAAGUAUAGACACGAACGUCAUCUUAAUACCAAUUCGUAUCUAGCGAUUUUUUUAAAACCGGCAUAUUCCAAGUCGUCAACCUGAAAACAACCAAAUCACAGUCCUAGCAUCGUCUUUAAAUCGACACGGAUUGUCGAUCAUUACGAUCCUCGGAAGAAGAAACGUACACAACCCUUCAAAGUAUCGGUUCAACCGUUUUCUUUCGUAAAAAAGGGGGGGGAGCAGGUACGUAUACUACACUCAUAUACUCCCAAACUUUAAAAAAUCUUUCCUCGUCAUCAAGAAAACGCUUUUGUCAAAGCAAACUCUUGAAACAAUAGGCAAUACGAUGCCACACUAAAAUCGUCCCAAAAAGGCAAACGACAAUCUAAAAUUUGUCCAAACGCCAGCAACAUACCCAAACGAUCAUGAACAUAAUCUCAAUGACUAUACAUCAUUUCUUGUCACAAUCAUGCUUAUAGAAAACAUGUACGAAUAUCAAACUGAAACUCGACGAUUAGCCAAAGUCUUGAAACCCUUUCCGGCUCUAUAAAGCCAGUUUCGUAUAAUAAAAAAAUUACGAGAAAUCUUCAAGUAUCAAAGCAUUUCUUUCAGUUUCCGUUGAACCAAGUGAGUCACGGAAAAGCAUCGAAAACAUUUGCGACGAAGAAAACUCAAGAAUAAAAGUAGCAGCAAGCACAUUAAAGGGAACAAUUUCUUUCUGAUUGUUGGCUAGACCUACCACUGGUUGACCCAUUCGUUCCAGAAACGAAUAUGCCAUAAGAAUCCUCUCAAAAGCCUAUAAAAAACGUUCUGCGACUAGAUCGUGGAGAUAUAAACUUUGGUAACACUCCAUAAGUAACUCCAAGCAACUUUCACAAAAUAUCGAAUUCAAAGCAGAAACGUUUCUCGUAAAACCCGCAAAAACAACGCUACUUUGACAUGUGUAUACAUAUCACCGAUUUACAACCUUCGUAAAACCGGUCGCCCAUUACUUACGCGAAAAAUCCUUCGUACAAUCAGAUCAAGUCAUACGAAGAAACUUUCAAAAGUAAACAUAAUAGGUUUUACGAAGGAGUAUUUUUCGGAUAGCAAAUACAAAGCUGUAAGAUCUGACUUUGGAUGAUCAAUCUAAAGAGAGAUUUCUUUGCAUUACGAUCUAAUAGAUCUCAUUUUUACCCAUGCGGCUUGCUGGCUUCUGCCUUUCUUUCCCCUCGGUCACAUCCGAGAAGGCAAUCAUCCCGCAACUGACUCCGCACUGGUUAUGUACCAAACCUCUUAGGAUUCCUCUUCGUCAGACAAAAACGAAUCAAUUUUCAUAAGACUAUAGGUAACAUUAUACGAAGCAUUCAUCGUAUAACUGAAACCUAAAGUGGAGAAUCGUUUUCUACGACUAUCGUUCAUCUUAACACAGAUAACCCCGACAAACUUGGCCUUUCAAUCUCGACAAACGCUCUUUGACCCUCGGUCAAUUACGCCUUCCAGUAAAAUUCUGAACAAGAAUUCGGCAUGCCCUAUAAGGACAAUUGUAAACUAACAUGAUCUUCAUGUUAACACGAAAGUACCAUGGUCUAAUCUUUGACCUACAACGUCCUUGGCUAUCUGAGUGAACACAUCCUUCACGCCAAGCCAAAGUAUUUGAGUAACCAUCGCUCCAUCACUUAACGGUUAAACGACAAUCUGCGAUUUGUCUAAAAACGUCAUGUGACUAUUAAGAAAAUAAUUAUCAUAUAACCCA